This 728-nucleotide ribosomal RNA is filed under the name uncultured bacterium. RNAcentral describes it as "bacterial SSU rRNA". It matches the Rfam family "Bacterial small subunit ribosomal RNA", at positions 96 to 812 of the family's 1533-position model. The record is from RNAcentral.
CGGCGGACGGGUGAGUAACACGUGGGCAACCUGCCUGUAAGACUGGGAUAACUUCGGGAAACCGGAGCUAAUACCGGAUAAUCCUUUUCUACUCAUGUAGGAAAGCUGAAAGACGGUUUACGCUGUCACUUACAGAUGGGCCCGCGGCGCAUUAGCUAGUUGGUGAGGUAACGGCUCACCAAGGCGACGAUGCGUAGCCGACCUGAGAGGGUGAUCGGCCACACUGGGACUGAGACACGGCCCAGACUCCUACGGAGGCAGCAGUAGGGAAUCUUCCGCAAUGGACGAAAGUCUGACGGAGCAACGCCGCGUGAGUGAUGAAGGUUUUCGGAUCGUAAAACUCUGUUGUUAGGGAAGAACAAGUACGAGAGUAACUGCUCGUACCUUGACGGUACCUAACCAGAAAGCCACGGCUAACUACGUGCCAGCAGCCGCGGUAAUACGUAGGUGGCAAGCGUUGUCCGGAAUUAUUGGGCGUAAAGCGCGCGCAGGCGGUCCUUUAAGUCUGAUGUGAAAGCCCACGGCUCAACCGUGGAGGGUCAUUGGAAACUGGGGGACUUGAGUGCAGAAGAGGAGAGUGGAAUUCCACGUUUAGCGGUGAAAUGCGUAGAGAUGUGGAGGAACACCAGUGGCGAAGGCGACUCUCUGGUCUGUAACUGACGCUGAGGCGCGAAAGCGUGGGGAGCGAACAGGAUUAGAUACCCUGUAGUCCACGCCGUAAACGAUGA